Molecule: ribosomal RNA, 301 nt
Filed under: uncultured bacterium
Lineage: Bacteria
Description: partial 16S ribosomal RNA
Rfam family: Bacterial small subunit ribosomal RNA
Source: RNAcentral
CAGCAGCCACGGUAAUACAGAGGGUGCGAGCGUUAAUCGGAUUUACUGGGCGUAAAGCGUGCGUAGGCGGCUUUUUAAGUCGGAUGUGAAAUCCCUGAGCUUAACUUAGGAAUUGCAUUCGAUACUGGGAAGCUAGAGUAUGGGAGAGGAUGGUAGAAUUCCAGGUGUAGCGGUGAAAUGCGUAGAGAUCUGGAGGAAUACCGAUGGCGAAGGCAGCCAUCUGGCCUAAUACUGACGCUGAGGUACGAAAGCAUGGGGAGCAAACAGGAUUAGAUACCCGAGUAGUCCCUGUCCCUUAUAC